GUGCUGGCUGGCUUCAGCAGCACAUAUACUAAAGUUGGAACAAUACAAAGAUUAUCAUGGCCCCUGUGCAAGAAUGACCACAAUAUAAAAAAUUUUU
This 97-nucleotide small nuclear RNA is filed under the name Microcebus murinus (gray mouse lemur). The record is from RNAcentral. Lineage: Eukaryota; Metazoa; Chordata; Mammalia; Primates; Cheirogaleidae.